Long non-coding RNA from Dioscorea cayenensis subsp. rotundata (Guinea yam), 519 nucleotides. RefSeq lists it as uncharacterized. The transcript has 4 exons. The record is from RefSeq and is a predicted model, not a curated record. NCBI's taxonomy places the organism in Eukaryota, Viridiplantae, Streptophyta, Magnoliopsida, Dioscoreales, Dioscoreaceae.
AUGGCAAUGGGAACAAUUAGUCGAUUAUUGGUAUUCAAAUAAAGGAGAGGAUUCAGAAAGACUUGGGGUUGCUAGCAGAAAACAACAAAAAUAUACUCAUACCUCUGGAUCAAAGAGCUUUGCUAGAAAGGAAAAGGAAAUGGAGGUUCACAAUGGAAGAAAAGUAGGACGGCUCGAAUUUUUUAAAUCAACUCACACCAAAAAAGAUGGUUCUCACAUGAAUGUGGAAACUGAACAAAUUAUGGUUAAAGCAAAUGAGAAGUUAGCUGAAUGUGAAACAGUAGAUGAGGAUAUGCAGAUUGUUGAAACUAAAAUUCUGACACAAGUUAUUGGAAAAGAACGAUGUGGGUGAGUAAGAGGGCUUGGAUUGGGUCCAACACUCAAAACUUAUUAUGGGGGUAUGACUAGCAGAACUUCUACUGCCUCAAGCACCCAAUCAAGUGAGUUUGUUGAGCAGUUUAAUCAAAUGGAACAACAAAUACAACAAUUGAAAGAGGAGCGAGAGCAAGAACGUGCACA